Molecule: long non-coding RNA, 3572 nt
Filed under: Sus scrofa (pig)
Lineage: Eukaryota; Metazoa; Chordata; Mammalia; Artiodactyla; Suidae
Description: lncRNA (ENSSSCG00060008949.1)
Source: RNAcentral
UUUUUUUUUUUUUCUCUUCUUUUUACGGGCUGCAAUUGGCAUGUGGAAGUUCCUGGCUAGGGGCUGCAUCUGAGCUGCAGCUGAGGCCACAGCCAAUGCAGGAUCUGAGCCAUGGCUGCAACCUAUGCUGCAGCUUGCGGCAACACUGUUUCCUUAACCCCCUGAGUGAGACCAGGGAUUGAACCCAAACUGCAUCCUCACAGACACUACGUCAUGUUCUUAACCCUCUGAGCCACAAUGACAACUCCCCAGUCAGGAUCUUGAGUUUCAGGCAGAUGUUCUGAAUGCCUUUGUUAGGACAAUAAAUAGUCAAAGGAGGGAGUUCCUGUUGUGGCUCAGCAGUAAUGAGCCCGACUAUUAUCCACAAGAAUGUGGGUUUGAUACCUGGCCUCGCUCAGCAGGUUAAGGAUCCAGCGUUGCCGUGAACUAUGGUAUAGUUCGCAGAUGCGGCUCAGGUCUGGCAUUGCCGUGGCUGUGGUGUAGGCCGGCACCUCCAAUUCGACUCCUAGCCUGGGAACUUCCAUAUGCUGCGAGUGUGCCCCCCCCCCCAAAAGUCAAAGGAUUAGAUUCCAUCCAGGCUGAGAUGUACCUAAGUCACACUUCCUCAGUGGCCUCCUGGCUCCGUUUUAGAGCUUGCUCAGCAAUAGCAAUUCGUUUUGGUUUUCCUUUCACACAUGAAUGGGAGUCUAGUGCCACAAGCUAUUCACAUUCUAGUUUCGGACUGACCUACAUCUGGGUGGGCGCACUCAGAUAUUGGAUUUUAAUUAAAUGAAAAGGCCGAAAGUUUUACAGAUAUUGUCUCCUAACCAACUGCCGCUUUAUCAUUCACAAUUCCUUAGAUCAGCCCCAAAGUCUUUAAGAGUGUGUAAUAGCACAAGAUUUUAAGCAGGCUCAAAUUUGGUUGCCACAAUCAGUUAUGAAAACUAUUUAUACUUUUAUAAAUUAAUGUAUAUGUGUGUGUGUAAAUUACAUAUACGUCUCUGCUGUCAGGCCCUGGAGUGAGUGUGUGGUUGCACUCUGAUUGAGAAGGGUACAAUAUGAUCCAUGGAUGGGGCUGUCAUUCCAUUUCCCUCCUGUGCCAAUAUUCCAUCACUCCACUGCUUUUUAGCUCUGUGCUUGGAGCUGAUGCCAACACAGAUGACUAAGAACCUUGGCCUUAAGGAGUUUGAAAUCUCACACAAGAGACUGCCCAGCAAACAGAAGAUGGCAACGCAGUGUGGUGGAUAUUUUCUCUGAAGAACUGCAGCCCUAAAUAAUAAAAAAGACAAAAAGUUUCAGAUAAGUGAGGGCCACCAAUGUCCUCCCUUCAAACUUGCUGUCAAGUGGAUGCUCCUAGGAAAACACGCAUCCGACUGAAGUUUGCAAUGCAUUUUGAGGUUUAUUAGCCAGGAGGACAGACAGAGCUAUACAAUCGCUACAGUUCAUAAAUCUGACCAAGUUCCAGCUCCCUGUUCUUUCCUCCAUCACAAGACGCACAUUAUGGAGUUUACCUGAGGCAAAAGGAAGGCUCUUUGAGUAACACGUUACAACCAAUGUUCUAGUUGGAUGAAGGGACAGAAUUCCCUGCUAGUGGCCUGUCCCCCAUUAGACAGGGUUCUAAGCCCAGGGUGCCACUCUGAAGGGUGAAGCCCUGUUCACACAAAGGUGAAUUUGCCUAUUCAGUACUUUUAACCAAUAUAUAUAUCGUGACUACCACAUACUUCACCGAUUAUUUUUAUCAUCAUCUCGCUAGUAAACAAAUCCUCUAGAGGCGAGUGAAAUUAACAAAAGAUAUUUGUAAUAGCCGUUCCAGCUGUAUGGGUUUCUUGUAUUUGAAUAUGGUAACUAACAACACCUAGAGGGUAUAUUCAUGACUAGGGUACUUCAAAUGUAGAAGUACCCUUAGGUACUAUUGCCCCUAGGGUGUGAAAUAGAACCAAUUAAUGCAUAUCAUGCUUUUUUUUUGCUUUCCAUUUCAGUUUUUUAAUUGCCUUAAAGAGAAGAACAAGCAGUUCCGGUCGUGGCUUGGCAGAAACAAAUCUGACUAGCAACCAUGAGGACACAGGUUCGAUCCCUGGCCUCUCUCUGUGGUUAAGGAUCUGGUGUUGCCGUGAGCUUUGGUGGUGUAGGGGUGUCUUUCCUUUCCUUUGGGCACUAGUCCAGUCUUUACUUUGCAUCAAUCCCUCACUGUGUAAUCUGCUGACCACCAUUAUUUAUUACUCAUGCUCAGUCUCUAGAUGCCUCCACCAGAAGUAAAACCGGCUGCGGUGGUCAGUCAUUAGAGACAAAGUUGACAGUAAGAAAGCCCCAGGGUUGCACGGUAUUACAGAGAUAGCAACUGGCGCCCAUCCACCUGCAAUGGCCACGAAGGGAGAGGGGAGAAGGGCAGAUCAGGAAGGGAUAGGAGGGAGUUCCCUGGUGGCCCAGCAGUUAAGGAUCUGGCAUCGUUACUGCCAUGACUCUGGUUAUUGCUGUAGCACAAGUUCGAUCCCUGGUCCGGGAACUUCCACAUGUUCUGGGGGUGGGGCCGGGGUGGGGAGGGGGAAGAAGGGAAAGGAAAAUGCCAUUGGCUAGGGGCGCUGGCCCAGUUCCAACUUCCCCCUGAAAUACAGUUAUCCUUUGAUAUCUAGAACUAACUCUUUCUAGCUUGUGUGAAAUGUGCUGAAUGACCAUUUUUUUAGAGAGUGGGAACCUUAUUUUCCUAAGUUGGAAAAAUAAUAGUGCUUCCUUGGUCACCUAAAACUUCAGCUGUCUUUUUUUCUGCAAAUUAAAACAAACAAACCAAAAAACCAGGAUAAUACUCUUAGACAAUUAUAUAAGAACCCACUGAGAAUUUUUGGAAAAAAAAAUAAAGCAUGUUGAAGCCUCGAGUAUAUAACAGUUAAUGCAUUUAUGAGUGGCUCUCUUUGUGAAACAUAGACAGUAUCUCUGAGCCUUAUCAGUUACAAUUAUGUUUUCCCUCUCCACCAUGCGGUGGGCAGGCACAGCAAUGGGAGUCAAUAAUGAAAUAGUAAGCCAUAGGCAGUAAAGUUUUUUUUGUUUUUUUUUUUGUUUUUUUUUUUUUUAGGGCUGUACUCACAGCACAUGGAGGUUCCCAGGCUAGGGGCUGAAUCAGAGCUGUAGCUGCCAGCCUACACCCCAGCCACAGCAACCCGGGAUCCAAGCUGCAUCUGUGACCUAUAUGACAGCUCACGGCAAUGCUGGAUCCUUAAUCCACUGAGUGAGGCCAGGGAUUGAACCUGCGUCCUCAUGGAUGCUAGUUCCAUUUGCUAACCGCUGAGCCACAACAGGAACUCCAGGCAUUAAAGUUUUUACGUUGGAUGCAGAUUGUUAGUCUCCCAGGUACUUUGGGGACCCUAACAUGGGAAUCGUGAAGGGCCCCAUCCCUAGAGCAGAGCCGGGAAGAUGACAGCCCUCCACAACCUAUGACCUGGGCUCAGGGCUCAGGACAGCUUAAUGUGCUCCCCACCCACCCCCAUUCAGGCAUACAUAGUUCUUGCAGUAUAUUUCAGAUUUUUGCUAGUGGGCUUGGGGGUGAAUAUUUUUUCAAAAGGUAGAAUAUUUUCUUUUUCUUUUUGUUUUUGGCCAUGCCC